ACCUGAGAUCUGCUGGGAAAUGGGGCUGUAGUAGGGCAUAGGAGCAGUGGUGUGUGUGAGUGGUGCAAUGUGUAAGGGGUGCAGAGGGUGUGUGAAGGUUGUAGUGUGUGAGUGAGGGCGGCAGUGUAUGUCAGGGAUGCAGUGUAUGUGUGGGACAGUAUGUGUGUGUAACAGUUGCAGUGUGUGUAUGGGGGGCAGUGUGUGUGUAUG
RNAcentral lists this long non-coding RNA (210 nucleotides) under Pelobates cultripes (western spadefoot toad). The record is from RNAcentral. Lineage: Eukaryota; Metazoa; Chordata; Amphibia; Anura; Pelobatidae.